AUGAAAAGAGACUUGAUGGACACUGGAGGUGCCACUCAUGCCUCUUCUCUCUCCAAGUUUGCCUUUGGGAUGCGCAAAAAUGGCUUUCAGAGUCCAGACAUCACAAGGCCGGAUGAUUCACCAACAAAAAAAGCGAUUCAGGCGAGCUCAAGCCCUGCAUCUCCCCUCGACUGGCCUGGCACGCCAACUCAACCGCUCAAGAAGAUGAAAGGUGGGCUUCUGGAGCAGAUCAAAGAGGUUCGCCUGAUGCUUGCUGCAGAAGACAAGAGGAUGUUGACUGAUGCUUGCUGCAAUGGCUCUGCUCCUUAG
RNAcentral lists this ribosomal RNA (309 nucleotides) under Triticum aestivum (bread wheat). RNAcentral's name for it is "partial small subunit ribosomal RNA". The record is from RNAcentral. Lineage: Eukaryota; Viridiplantae; Streptophyta; Magnoliopsida; Poales; Poaceae.